UCGGGAAUUUUGGGCAAUGGGCGAAAGCCUGACCCAGCAACGCCGCGUGAAGGAUGAAGUAUUUCGGUAUGUAAACUUCGAAAGAAUAGGAAGAAUAAAUGACGGUACUAUUUAUAAGGUCCGGCUAACUACGUGCCAGCAGCCGCGGUAAUACGUAGGGACCAAGCGUUGUUCGGAUUUACUGGGCGUAAAGGGCGCGUAGGCGGCUUGACAAGUCACUUGUGAAAUCUCUGGGCUUAACCCAGAACGGCCAAGUGAUACUGUCGCGCUAGAGUGCAGAAGGGGCAAUCGGAAUUCUUGGUGUAGCGGUGAAAUGCGUAGAUAUCAAGAGGAACACCUGAGGUGAAGACGGGUUGCUGGGCUGACACUGACGCUGAGGCGCGAAAGCCAGGGGAGCAAACGGGAUUAGAUACCCAGGUAGUCCCUGAGCGGGCUGGCAAGGCGCAU
This 447-nucleotide ribosomal RNA is filed under the name uncultured bacterium. Its description in RNAcentral is "bacterial SSU rRNA". It matches the Rfam family "Bacterial small subunit ribosomal RNA", at positions 355 to 825 of the family's 1533-position model. The record is from RNAcentral.